UGGGGAAUAUUGCACAAUGGGGGAAACCCUGAUGCAGCGACGCCGCGUGAGCGAAGAAGGUUUUCGAAUCGUAAAGCUCUGUCCUAUGAGAAGAUAAUGACGGUAUCAUAGGAGGAAGCCCCGGCUAAAUACGUGCCAGCAGCCGCGGUAAUACGUAUGGGGCGAGCGUUGUCCGGAAUUAUUGGGCGUAAGGGGUACGUAGGCGGUCUAUUAAGUCAGGUGUGAAAGCGUGAGGCUUAACCUCAUUAAGCACUUGAAACUGAUAGACUUGAGUGAAGGAGAGGAAAGUGGAAUUCCUAGUGUAGCGGUGAAAUGCGUAGAUAUUAGGAGGAAUACCGGUGGCGAAGGCGACUUUCUGGACUUUUACUGACGCUCAGGUACGAAAGCGUGGGGAGCAAACAGG
This 403-nucleotide ribosomal RNA is filed under the name Verrucomicrobiota bacterium. RNAcentral describes it as "Verrucomicrobia bacterium partial 16S ribosomal RNA". It matches the Rfam family "Bacterial small subunit ribosomal RNA", at positions 355 to 776 of the family's 1533-position model. Lineage: Bacteria; Pseudomonadati; Verrucomicrobiota. The record is from RNAcentral.